Molecule: ribosomal RNA, 553 nt
Filed under: Salmonella enterica subsp. enterica serovar Enteritidis
Lineage: Bacteria; Pseudomonadati; Pseudomonadota; Gammaproteobacteria; Enterobacterales; Enterobacteriaceae
Description: bacterial SSU rRNA
Rfam family: Bacterial small subunit ribosomal RNA
Source: RNAcentral
CUGACAGUGCGGACGGGUGAGUAAUGUCUGGGAAACUGCCUGAUGGAGGGGGAUAACUACUGGAAACGGUGGCUAAUACCGCAUAACGUCGCAAGACCAAAGAGGGGGACCUUCGGGCCUCUUGCCAUCAGAUGUGCCCAGAUGGGAUUAGCUUGUUGGUGAGGUAACGGCUCACCAAGGCGACGAUCCCUAGCUGGUCUGAGAGGAUGACCAGCCACACUGGAACUGAGACACGGUCCAGACUCCUACGGGAGGCAGCAGUGGGGAAUAUUGCACAAUGGGCGCAAGCCUGAUGCAGCCAUGCCGCGUGUAUGAAGAAGGCCUUCGGGUUGUAAAGUACUUUCAGCGGGGAGGAAGGUGUUGUGGUUAAUAACCGCAGCAAUUGACGUUACCCGCAGAAGAAGCACCGGCUAACUCCGUGCCAGCAGCCGCGGUAAUACGGAGGGUGCAAGCGUUAAUCGGAAUUACUGGGCGUAAAGCGCACGCAGGCGGUCUGUCAAGUCGGAUGUGAAAUCCCCGGGCUCAACCUGGGAACUGCAUUCGAAACUGGCAG